Molecule: long non-coding RNA, 2997 nt
Filed under: Oncorhynchus kisutch (coho salmon)
Lineage: Eukaryota; Metazoa; Chordata; Actinopteri; Salmoniformes; Salmonidae
Description: lncRNA (ENSOKIG00005023066.1)
Source: RNAcentral
AUGUUUUCCUCUCAGUGGUCCAUAGGAUUCUAUUGCCCACUGCUGGAGACUGGAGCACACUGCAGUCCCUUUCAGGUCUAUAGGGCUUUACUGCCCCCUGCUGGAGACUGGAGCACACUGCAGUCCCUUUCAGGUCCAUAGGGUUUUACUGCCCCCUGCUGGAGACUGGAGCACACUGCAGUCCCUUUUACUAAGCAACGCGGUCCUGGAAUUCUCUCCUGAACAUUUUAAAAUGUGAUGAUCUAGUUUCCUUGGUGGAGUUUAAACACUUGAUCGAUGUAUAUAUCAUAGAAGAGUGUUAUUGUCUUUAGGCCAGCUGUUAUUAGUCAAGAUGUUUGUGUUUGUAAUGUAAUAUGUAAUUGUUGUACUGUAUGUGUGUUUAUAGUGUUGUUUAAUGUUGUGUUAAAUAAAGGUAAAAUAAAAACUAUAAUUAAAAAUCAAUACAGAUACUGUAUGUAGAACCAUAGUAAAGACCAGUAUGGACUAUCAAUACAGGUACUGUAUGUAGAACCAUAGUAAAGACCAGUAUGGACUAUCAAUACAGAUACUGUAUGUAGAACCCUAGUAAAGACCAGUAUGGACUAUCAAUACAGGUACUGUAUGUAGAACCAUAGUAAAGACCAGUAUGGACUAUCAAUACAGAUACUGUAUGUAGAACCAUAGUAAAGACCAGUAUGGACUAUCAAUACAGAUACUGUAUGUAGAACCAUAGUAAAGACCAGUAUGGACUAUCAAUACAGAUACUGUAUGUAGAACCAUAGUAAAGACCAGUAUGGACUAUCAAUACAGGUACUGUAUGUAGAACCAUAGUAAAGACCAGUAUGGACUAUCAAUACAGGUACUGUAUGUAGAACCAUAGUAAAGACCAGUAUGGACUAUCAAUACAGAUACUGUAUGUAGAACCAUAGUAAAGACCAGUAUGGACUAUCAAUACAGAUACUGUAUGUAGAACCAUAGUAAAGACCAGUAUGGACUAUCAAUACAGAUACUGUAUGUAGAACCAUAGUAAAGACCAGUAUGGACUAUCAAUACAGAUACUGUAUGUAGAACCAUAGUAAAGACCAGUAUGGACUAUCAAUACAGAUACUGUAUGUAGAACCAUAGUAAAGACCAGUAUGGACUAUCAAUACAGGUACUGUAUGUAGAACCAUAGUAAAGACCAGUAUGGACUAUCAAUACAGAUACUGUAUGUAGAACCAUAGUAAAGACCAGUAUGGACUAUCAAUACAGAUACUGUAUGUAGAACCAUAGUAAAGACCAGUAUGAACUAUCAAUACAGAUACUGUAUGUAGAACCAUAGUAAAGACCAGUAUGGACUAUCAAUACAGAUACUGUAUGUAGAACCAUAGUAAAGACCAGUAUGGACUAUCAAUACAGGUACUGUAUGUAGAACCAUAGUAAAGACCAGUAUGGACUAUCAAUACAGAUACUGUAUGUAGAACCAUAGUAAAGACCAGUAUGGACUAUCAAUACAGAUACUGUAUGUAGAACCAUAGUAAAGACCAGUAUGGACUAUCAAUACAGAUACUGUAUGUAGAACCAUAGUAAAGACCAGUAUGGACUAUCAAUACAGAUACUGUAUGUAGAACCAUAGUAAAGACCAGUAUGGACCAUCAAUACAGAUACUGUAUGUAGAACCAUAGUAAAGACCAGUAUGGACUAUCAAUACAGAUACUGUAUGUAGAACCAUAGUAAGACCAGUAUGGACUAUCAAUACAGAUACUGUAUGUAGAACCAUAGUAAAGACCAGUAUGGACUAUCAAUACAGAUACUGUAUGUAGAACCAUAGUAAAGACCAGUAUGGACUAUCAAUACAGGUACUGUAUGUAGAACCAUAGUAAAGACCAGUAUGGACUAUCAAUACAGAUACUGUAUGUAGAACCAUAGUAAAGACCAGUAUGGACUAUCAAUACAGGUACUGUAUGUAGAACCAUAGUAAAGACCAGUAUGGACUAUCAAUACAGGUACUGUAUGUAGAACCAUAGUAAAGACCAGUAUGGACUAUCAAUACAGAUACUGUAUGUAGAACCAUAGUAAAGACCAGUAUGGACUAUCAAUACAGAUACUGUAUGUAGAACCAUAGUAAAGACCAGUAUGGACUAUCAAUACAGAUACUGUAUGUAGAACCAUAGUAAAGACCAGUAUGGACUAUCAAUACAGAUACUGUAGUAGAACCAUAGUAAAGACCAGUAUGGACUAUCAAUACAGGUACUGUAUGUAGAACCAUAGUAAAGACAGUUGGACUAUCAAAUACAGGUACUGUAUGUAGAACCAUAGUAAAGACCAGUAUGGACUAUCAAUACAGAUACUGUAUGUAGAACCAUAGUAAAGACCAGUAUGGACUAUCAUACAGAUACUGUAUGUAGAACCAUAGUAAAGACCAGUAUGGACUAUCAAUUCAGAUACUGUAUGUAGAAACCAUAGUAAAGACCAGUAUGGACCAUCAAUACAGAUACUGUAUGUAGAACCAUAGUAAAGACAGUAUGGACUAUCAAUACAGGUACUGUAUGUAGACCAUAGUAAAGACCAGUAUGGACUAUCAAUACAGGUACUGUAUGUAGAACCAUAUUAAAGACCAGUAUGGACUAUCAAUACAGGUACUGUAUGUAGAACCAUAGUAAAGACCAGUAUGGACUAUCAAUACAGGGUACUGUAUGUAGAACCAUAGUAAAGACCAGUAUGGACUAUCAAUACAGAUACUGUAUGUAGAACCAUAGUAAAGACCAGUAUGGACUAUCAAUACAGAUACUGUAUGUAGAACCAUAGUAAAGACCAGUAUGGACUAUCAAUACAGAUACUGUAUGUAGAACCAUAGUAAGACCAGUAGGACUAUCAAUACAAAGUGACCAUUUAGAAUGAGGCCCAGGUCAAUGAGAGGAAGUCUUAACAGAACUGGGGGAUGACAGACAGGAAGUGGGGGGUGGAGAUCUAAUAUAUUUUGUGCCAAACACUAAAGCAUGAUAUUGUAAUAAAUCUACACCCUUUUCCAUACGUAGA